GUGGUGGGCUUAGUGGUAGAGUGCUCACCUAGUGAGCGAGAGGCACUGGGUUCAAUCCUCAGUACCACA
Ictidomys tridecemlineatus (thirteen-lined ground squirrel) is the source of this 69-nucleotide non-coding RNA. NCBI's taxonomy places the organism in Eukaryota, Metazoa, Chordata, Mammalia, Rodentia, Sciuridae. The record is from Rfam.